AAGAGAUGGCGACCGGCGCACGGGCGAGUAACACGUAUCCAACCUGCCGAUAACUCCGGAAUAGCCUUUCGAAAGAAAGAUUAAUACCGGAUGGCAUACGAAUAUCGCAUGAUAUUUUUAUUAAAGAAUUUCGGUUAUCGAUGGGGAUGCGUUCCAUUAGUUUGUUGGCGGGGUAACGGCCCACCAAGACUACGAUGGAUAGGGGUUCUGAGAGGAAGGUCCCCCACAUUGGAACUGAGACACGGUCCAA
This 250-nucleotide ribosomal RNA is filed under the name uncultured bacterium. RNAcentral's name for it is "partial 16S ribosomal RNA". It matches the Rfam family "Bacterial small subunit ribosomal RNA", at positions 83 to 334 of the family's 1533-position model. The record is from RNAcentral.